UUGUAGCUUAGAUAUACUUGGUAUUCUGUUCAUUUCCAGAAAUGUCCAAACACGGAUGUUUGGACAAGCCGCCGUUGAGACAUGGAUGUCGAAUCGGCGGCGGUUUCGUCCGCAACCAGAAUAUACAUCAGAAUACCUAGUAUAUCUUAGCUGCA
RNAcentral lists this non-coding RNA (155 nucleotides) under human gut metagenome. The record is from RNAcentral.